UACGGAGGGGGCUAGCGUUGUUCGGAAUUACUGGGCGUAAAGCGCGCGUAGGCGGCUUUGUAAGUUAGAGGUGAAAGCCCGGAGCUCAACUCCGGAACUGCCUUUAAGACUGCAUCGCUAGAAUCAUGGAGAGGUGAGUGGAAUUCCGAGUGUAGAGGUGAAAUUCGUAGAUAUUCGGAAGAACACCAGUGGCGAAGGCGGCUCACUGGACCGGCAUUGACGCUGAGGUGCGAAAGCGUGGGGAGCAAACAGG
RNAcentral lists this ribosomal RNA (253 nucleotides) under uncultured bacterium. RNAcentral's name for it is "partial 16S ribosomal RNA". It matches the Rfam family "Bacterial small subunit ribosomal RNA", at positions 524 to 776 of the family's 1533-position model. The record is from RNAcentral.